GGAUGUGAGGGCGAUCUGGCUGCGACAUCUGUCACCCCAUUGAUCGCCAGGGUUGAUUCGGCUGAUCUGGCUGGCUAGGCGGGUGUCCCCUUCCUCCCUCACUGCUCCAUGUGUAUCCCUCCCGAAGCUGCUCACUCGGUCGAAGAGGACGACCUUCCCCGAUAGAGGAGGACCGUUCUUUGGUCAAGGGUAUACGAGUAGCUGCGCUCCCCUGCUAGAACCUCCAAACAAGCUCUCAAGGUUUAACUUCAUUUUCUCAUAUAGGGAUACAUGAAUUCUGAACUCUAAGUCAAGCAUGGUUUGGGCUCACUGUUUGAAACUU
This 322-nucleotide small nuclear RNA is filed under the name Marmota marmota marmota (Alpine marmot). RNAcentral describes it as "7SK RNA (ENSMMMG00000002206.1)". It matches the Rfam family "7SK RNA". From Rfam's summary of the family: 7SK was discovered as an abundant small nuclear RNA in the mid-70s but a possible function has only recently been suggested. Two independent studies have found that 7SK RNA binds the CDK9/cyclin T complex (known as elongation factor P-TEFb). P-TEFb activates transcription by phosphorylating the C-terminal domain of RNA polymerase II. The record is from Rfam by way of RNAcentral. Lineage: Eukaryota; Metazoa; Chordata; Mammalia; Rodentia; Sciuridae.